RNAcentral lists this ribosomal RNA (78 nucleotides) under Clostridium butyricum. RNAcentral describes it as "partial 23S ribosomal RNA". It matches the Rfam family "Bacterial large subunit ribosomal RNA", at positions 2847 to 2925 of the family's 2925-position model. Lineage: Bacteria; Bacillati; Bacillota; Clostridia; Eubacteriales; Clostridiaceae. The record is from RNAcentral.
ACAAGGUUGAUAGGUCAGAGGUGUAAGUGCGGUAACGUAUUUAGCUGACUGAUACUAAUAGGUCGAGGGCUUGACCAA